Vicugna pacos (alpaca) is the source of this 672-nucleotide non-coding RNA. Lineage: Eukaryota; Metazoa; Chordata; Mammalia; Artiodactyla; Camelidae. The record is from RefSeq and is a predicted model, not a curated record.
AGAAUUUUAUGGUGGAAGUUCACCCUACUGAACAUCCAGUCUAACCUGUAGGUUAUAUGGGCAUGGCCUAUAACUCCUUGUCUGACCAUUUAUCAAUAACUAAAGCAGAACAGCAUUGCAUUCACGAGGAAGCUGAGGCCCAGAGCGGUUAGUUGGUUUGGGCUGGGUGACCCAGUGCAUGGGGACCAAACCAGACUUACAGCCAGGCCUUGCAGCUCCCGGCGUGGUAGCAUGUCACGUCAACCAGGUCCUCCCGCCCACGGGACAAGGGUGGCUGGCCAGUUGCAGAGCCUGGAGGCCACUGCCUGAGAUGUGACUUCAUUUUGCAGUUUCAGGGGCUUCACCAUCAUUUCAGGGGAAGAAAUGCAACUUGAGUCUAAACUCUGGGUUUUUGUCCUCACAAUGAGGGUUUGCGCCCCCCACCCCAUUCGAGGCCUCGGGGUUCCUGGGUUCUGGGUCAGAAUGCUUGGCGGUUCUGGUUAGGCUUCUUGACUCGAUCUGCAUUUCUAAAGCACCCGCCCAGGAUCUGAGGUUUGGAGAGACUGCCGUCUAGCAGCUGUCAGCACACGUUGUGGGAAGGGUGGGUGCAGAGUGCCAGGGGUCAGAUGAAAGAGGUCAGUGCCGUCUGGGGAGAAAGCGGCAGUUCUCCUUGGAGGGCCCAUCCCCGCUCUU